Long non-coding RNA from Polypterus senegalus (gray bichir), 365 nucleotides. RefSeq lists it as uncharacterized. The record is from RefSeq and is a predicted model, not a curated record. The transcript has 2 exons. NCBI's taxonomy places the organism in Eukaryota, Metazoa, Chordata, Cladistia, Polypteriformes, Polypteridae.
UUUUUUUUUAAAUCUAGGGAAAGCUGUAGGUUUUCGCACCAAUCGGGAAUCAUGAUAGUGAAAAGCAGAACUCUAGCAUUGUGGAAAGUUUGAAAAUUUCCACAUAAUCAACAGUAGCCCAUUUCUGAUGGGCUAAAUGGCCUGUUCCCUAUUUUUCAGAUUGUAAAAUAAAAAUAACUGAAUAAAAUCUUCUCUGGCCGGGCCCUGGGGUUUCUAUAGGCAACAUUUCAAGACACACCCAUCCCCAGUUCACUUUUAAUGUUAUGCCCUGGCACUCAUGUUUGUUCAAUACAGAGAUUAUCUGCAUGUGAACUUUUACCUGUAAAGUUUUCUGUCAGUUUAAUAUUAAACUCAAAAUGUGAUCA